Molecule: ribosomal RNA, 217 nt
Filed under: Ruminococcus sp. OF03-6AA
Lineage: Bacteria; Bacillati; Bacillota; Clostridia; Eubacteriales; Oscillospiraceae
Description: partial 16S ribosomal RNA
Rfam family: Bacterial small subunit ribosomal RNA
Source: RNAcentral
UUUUAUCAGAGAGUUUGAUCCUGGCUCAGGAUGAACGCUGGCGGCGUGCUUAACACAUGCAAGUCGAACGGGAAUUACUUUAUUGAAACUUCGGUCGAUUUAAUUUAAUUCUAGUGGCGGACGGGUGAGUAACGCGUGGGUAACCUGCCUUGUACAGGGGGAUAACAGUCAGAAAUGACUGCUAAUACCGCAUAAGCGCACAGGACCGCAUGGUCCG